This 464-nucleotide ribosomal RNA is filed under the name uncultured bacterium. RNAcentral's name for it is "partial 16S ribosomal RNA". It matches the Rfam family "Bacterial small subunit ribosomal RNA", at positions 28 to 506 of the family's 1533-position model. The record is from RNAcentral.
GACGAACGCUGGCGGCGUGCUUAACACAUGCAAGUCGAACGGAAAGGCCCCUUUGGGGGUACUCGAGUGGCGAACGGGUGAGUAACACGUGAGUAACCUGCCCUUGACUUCGGGAUAACCUCAGGAAACUGGGGCUAAUACCGGAUAGGAAUCCUUGCUGCAUGGUGGGGGUUGGAAGGCUUCGGCGGUUUUGGAUGGACUCGCGGCUUAUCAGCUUGUUGGUGGGGUAGUGGCUUACCAAGGCUUUGACGGGUAGCCGGCCUGAGAGGGCGACCGGCCACAUUGGGACUGAGAUACGGCCCAGACUCCUACGGGAGGCAGCAGUGGGGAAUAUUGCACAAUGGGCGGAAGCCUGAUGCAGCAACGCCGCGUGCGGGAUGACGGCCUUCGGGUUGUAAACCGCUUUCAGCAGGGGCGAAGCUUGUGGUGACGGUACCUGCAGAAGAAGCACCGGCUAACUACGU